AGUGAACGCUGGCGGCAGGCCUAACACAUGCAAGUCGUACGCUCCGCAAGGGGCGUGGCGUAAGGGUGAGUAAUGCGACGGUAACCAACCCCAAGGCCGGGUAUAGCCGCGGGAAACGUGCGGGUAAGUCCCCGGACGCGGUCACGAAGGGACGAUCCUUUUGUGAUCAAAGGUGCGAUUCCGCCUUGGGACGGGCCGUUGUGGUAUCACGGUAGUUGGUGGGGUGAUGGCCCACCAAGCCGACGACGCCUACC
This 254-nucleotide ribosomal RNA is filed under the name uncultured bacterium. RNAcentral's name for it is "partial 16S ribosomal RNA". It matches the Rfam family "Bacterial small subunit ribosomal RNA", at positions 29 to 287 of the family's 1533-position model. The record is from RNAcentral.